RNAcentral lists this ribosomal RNA (253 nucleotides) under uncultured bacterium. RNAcentral describes it as "partial 16S ribosomal RNA". It matches the Rfam family "Bacterial small subunit ribosomal RNA", at positions 524 to 776 of the family's 1533-position model. The record is from RNAcentral.
UACAGAGGUCUCAAGCGUUGUUCGGAUUCAUUGGGCGUAAAGGGUGCGUAGGCGGCGCUGUAAGUCGGGCGUGAAAUCUCGGAGCUUAACUCCGAAACUGCAUUCGAUACUGCCGUGCUUGAGGACUGGAGAGGAGACUGGAAUUUACGGUGUAGCGGUGAAAUGCGUAGAUAUCAGGAGGAACACCAGCGGCGAAGGCGGCGCUCUGGGCCGGAACUGACGCUGAGGAGCGAAAGCGUGGGUAGCAAACAGG